AGUGUGGUAAAGAUAGGCUAAGAAAGAAGUCCCGCCUCUGCUGCUGCUGAGAGGAGUAGUGCUUUGGGAGGCCGGCUCGGAGCCGGUACCAUUCCUACACUGCUCCGUUCCUGCACUGCUCCGUGGGCUCUGCUGGUCGCGGCUCCCUGCCGGCACUCGGUGUGCCCGGUCAGGUGUGUGGAAAACAGACAUCAGCCCCCGCCCUCACGUUGGUCUUGCUUCUUAAACCACGCUAGGACUCGAGUGGCAGCAUACACAAAUUAUUCUUGUGGCUUCCUGGAGAAAGCUAAAGGAUCAGCUCGGAAAUGCUGGUGUGAAGAUAGGCGGGAAAACUGGCAGCUGUUCUGAGACACGCUUACUGUCGGAAGCUAGCCGUGCUCCCUAAGAGCGCAGAAAGCCGUGUGGCUUAAGCUGUGAGAGGAGCUUCCAGCACACAGAGCUGGCACUGCGCUGAGACCCGCCAGCUCCAUCAGCAUUGCAAAGGCUGCAGGUAGCUUCGCUGUGUAGAAGGAUUUCUGAACUUAAAGGGAAGAUAUUCAGAUCACUCGGUUUAACUCUACUGGCUAUCUCUCUAAAACAAGCCACACAGCAUCAGUUCACUGGGAAUAGAACUAUUCUGAAUAACAUGCUUUGGUCCAGCAUGAAGGAAGACAAUUUUAAUGAGUUAAGAGGCUCUUAAAGGUUUUUGCCAGACCUUAGAACUACGGAUCACUUAGGUGCACUGGCGGUAAAGGUAGAGAAACUACAGCAAGAUGAAGGAGAAUAAGGUUUACUUCAGAAAGCCAGGACAAUAGGUAGGAAGCAAGCUUUCUCAUAGAUAGUCUUCAGUUGCUAAGGGAGGGCCAAGCAUCUGGCCUCACGACUCCUCCCACUUUCUGCACACAGCCAUAGAUACUAAAAUCAAGUCUUACAUGUUUAACUUUCAGCUUACUAGUGUUUCCUUCUCAUAUCCUGAUAUAAAGAAAGAAUAAAGUAAAAGGGAGAGAGAGAAACAGAAAAAGAGCUGGGGCUGUUAGAAUGAGAAAAAGACCGUUACAUAAGCUAUUUUUCUCUAAGAGCUUGCUUGCUUUGAACCUUGGUCCUGAAAGUAUCUUCAGGAACCCAAGAAUCAUAAAAACCCUAGUUGUGGUUAGCGUAUGAAUAUUUCUGUUCUCAUAUUCCCUGAUUUUUAGAGUUUAUGGCUUAUGAAGGACAUUGCAACGUAUCAAAAUUCAUUUCUACAUAAAUAAUGCAUAGAGUGGACUGGCUGGCUGUGACUGAAAAACUCAAGCUUUUUUUUAGAAAAACAGGGGAAAAACAAAGUACCAGGCCAUUUUUCUCACAUUGUUUAGCCAUGUCAUUUACUUCAAUAAUAAAUCAUUUAAGGUAAGUUGAUGUAGGUGAUACUACAUAAACAGCAAAAAUUUUGAUUCCAGUUAUUUGCAAUUUUCUGUUUGCUGUAAAAGUAAGCCACCUUUAACAAAUAACCAAAGCAGUAACUAAUCCUCUACCCAAAUUUAAAUUUUAUUGCAGAGUUCUGUAGUUUGUGCUAGUUACAAUAUUAUUUUUCCUACUCAACUUCUUUACACAUGCUGAGCCAGAUGUUCAUCUGGUGUAAAUUAACAUUGCUCUGUUGACCCCUCUAGAGACAGGAAGAUUUCUAUCAAGCUGUGGUCAGUUCCUGUAUGACUAAACAUAUAUCAUGUCAUGCAUUGGGGUAUAACACUGUUGAAUCAAGACUCAUUUUCAACUAUUCUGCGUCUUAUUUGCCCUGUAUGUUAUAACGAUUAUAGAAGGUGUAAAGCAGUCGGGCCUGCGUAACUUUAGUGAAGCAUCUCCAGUGGGAAUCUCCUAUGGGAAUCAUUGGGGAAAAAAAGACAGUGUGGGUGACUGUGUCAUGGAGUGGUCUGAAGAUAAAUCAGCAUGGAAGACAGGUUAGAAAGGCUAGAUUGCUAAGGAGUUGGGGGACCUGUUAUUUAUCAUUUAUGAUGAGAGGUAGUGAAGAUUUAAUGAAAAUACUGAGCAGCUGGUAAACAUACAUACAAAGGAUCUGUUUUUCAUACAGCUGUGAUUGCCACUGGAUUUUGCUGAAUUAAAAAAUAGAAAUGGGCUUAUAAAACACUAAGACAUAAUGAUAAUAGGACCAUCAGUGGGUACAAAGUCUGAGGUGGAUGCAAAGUAUUCCUUGAGAGGUCUCCAGCUCACUAAUUGCUCCCAGUGAACCUAAACCCCUGCUAGAGGAAGCUCGUGUGAUACAUCUGCAAUAUCUUAUGCUCCUCUCUCAACUUCCUGUGACUGGAUGGGAUUGCUAUUGGGCCGACUGUAGUGGAGCACUGCACAAUUGUUUUCAAGCUGUUUUUAUGUCAUUUCUAAUACAUGUUGUACUGAUAGAUGUGUGUAUAUAUAUUAUGGGUGCAAAUACAUCGUAAUAUGACCCAGUGGAGCAGAUCUUUAGCUGAUGUUAGUGUAAUUGCAUUGGUUUCUACAGAGUUAUGCUGGCGCGUAACAACUGGGGAACUGGCUCAUGAGAAGCCUGUCUGUUCCAGGCAUUAGCCUCCAAUGUGCUAUUUAGUUACAUGCUGGUGCAGUACUGUGAAAAUUAAUGCAAUUUUAGAAAUUUAAUAUGGGAACAAUGAAGUCAUAAAUGGCAAACAUUAUGGAUUUUGCUCUGUUCUUUAUUGUAUGCUCAACUAAAAUAUGCCUUACUUAGCUGUUCUGUUAUUAAUGCUAUUGGAGCACGAAAAGUAAAAUGAAAAAGAUUGUCUGAAAGAGAGAGAAUUAUGAUUUAAGCUGGAAGAAUUCAUCAAUAAUGAAAAAUACAAAAUAUUUUCUCCCCUCUGUGAAACUUCUGGAGUAAGUAUUUACUAUAAAUGUCUAGUAUACACCAAACAUUGUAGAAUGAAAUAUCUGAUGCCACAUAACUGAAUUCAGGGUUAUACAAUGAAAACUUAGUUCUAUGGAUCCUAAAUAACAGUACGUUAAUUCAUGUAUAUUAAGGCAAUGCUACUCACAAAAGAGAUUAUCUAUGAUAUGGCUUGUCCCUAUGGAAAUUUCUGUUUUUCUUUUUGAAUGUCGGAUGCAAAGAAGAAAAAUGUCAAAUUGUGAAUAUUGUUGUAUUGAGGUUAAUAGCUUUCCAAUGUUAUUUUUCAUUAUUUGUCUGUAUUCCCUUUUAGUUUAAGUUUUUUAAUAUGCUACUGUCAAUAUAUGUGAUAAUCCUACAGUCAGAAAAAGAUGAAGUUGGGAAUGCAAUAAUUAGUGAUUAGACUUGAGGACUAUGCAUAAAAAUUUGGUCUAAUAAAUUCAUUAUCCUCUUUGUGUUUUAUGACUGCUGAUUUGGGUUCUAUGGACAAUCCAACUGCAUAUGUUGUGCUUUAAGAGUAUGUAAUUUUGUAUGUAAUGUCCUUUUAAGAGUAUGUAAUUUAUAAUUUUGUCAGUGCUCGAGCACAGAAUUUCUUAAUCAUUAAGCCUGUGAAGUGGAGAAACAUCCAAAUUAUCAAAUGAUUUCAUGGACAUUUCACAUUUUUGUUCUUCAUAUAUAUUCAUAUAACAUUGACUGUGAUGUCUCUGCUAGCAGCCCUUGCAUGAUGCACUGCAAAAUGUAUGAAGGAAAUAAGCUUCCUAUAACUAACAGGAGAUAAUACGCACUUUUUUUUUUUCUCCUUUCUUUGU
Non-coding RNA from Meleagris gallopavo (turkey), 3648 nucleotides. NCBI's taxonomy places the organism in Eukaryota, Metazoa, Chordata, Aves, Galliformes, Phasianidae. The record is from RefSeq and is a predicted model, not a curated record.